Molecule: long non-coding RNA, 528 nt
Organism: Penaeus monodon (black tiger shrimp)
Lineage: Eukaryota; Metazoa; Arthropoda; Malacostraca; Decapoda; Penaeidae
Exons: 3
Source: RefSeq, a predicted model, not a curated record
UGCUUUAUGUCGAUUUGAGUGCUAUAGAAUAUUCAACGAUGAAGUGGAUCGGUUUGACUUUCUUGAUGCUGUCAUCCUUGAUGGUGGCAACAGAAGCGCGACCCCAAGCCAGAUUCCCGCCUCACUUUCCUACAAGCGGGCCUUCCAUCCCUCCAUGCAACUGUACGUUCCUACCGUGUCCUUGUUAUCCUCCUAGACCCAUCGACUUCUUAAGGGCCAAGCGACAAGUGUGAAGAGGACUCCGGAGGGCCCUGCGACAAGUGUGAAGAGGACUCCGGAGGGCCCUGCGACAAGUGUGAAGAGGACUCCGGAGGGCCCUGCGACAAGUGUGAAGAGGACUCCGGAGGGCCCUGAGAAUCUUUGGGAUGCUUUUUCUCGGACUCUCUUAAGUGUUUUUCUUCAGGUUUUUGGACUGCCUGCGUAAAUUAGGUUUUCCCUUUAUCUGUAAAAGUUUUCUCAGGCGUUCUAUUCGCGUCUUCUACAAGUUCUUAAGAUUUCUUUAUCGUUAUUGCAAGUUAUCAAGUCUUG